AAGAAAGCAAGUUAUUAUUAACUAUACAGCAGGAAGAUUUUGUAAACAUUUCCAAAUCGAUUCAAUUGUUACAUCAUUGGUAAGUUUUUUUUUAGAAAUUACAUACACUUUUCAAUUUGAAGGAACAAGGGUCCAAAACACAACAUAAUCCAGUGACUCUUCUAAUACCCAUAUACAACCUACAUAGUGUAUACAGAGCCUCUAAAAAUACAAAAGAGAGUCAUAAUAAUGCUAGCAACAAGGCCCCGACUAUACCUCGAAACGUGGCAAACAUAUAAACAAAAGAUGUACUAGAUGACUCCAGGAAGAAAUGGGGCUCACCGAGUCUGCUGGAAAAAUGAUGAUGGUUCACCACUAGCUGCCAUUAACACUGUCUGCUAUGGAACCACCUACAUCCAUUUAAACAUGUAGCGCCCCAGCAAAAGGGAUGUUAGUAUUGUUGAAUAGUACUAGUAUGUAAAACUAAACACUAAACUUAAUAGAACGAACAAUGAAAUAAAGGAGAAGCAGUCAUGAUAUACAACAAGAGCUUCAAACACAUACGAAAACAUCAAGUAAUGAUCACACAAUUUCCAGUUAAGUUUCCAUCUUAUUUAGGUUUUAUAAUCUCAGUGCCAUGUGCCACAAUCCACACUACCACCGUGUUUCUACAUGAAGUCUGAUCUCGACCCGACCGGUUAGGUCAUCUCAUUUGAGACAUCAACCAUUUUCACAAUUAUAGUCAAUCAAUCCAGCACAAUUACCACCAUGUGUGUGGGAUGGUGUUCGAUCAUGGCCCGAUCGGCUAGGCCAUCUCACUUGAUACAUCAACCAUUCAAUCGUUCAUCUCAAUUCAGAUUUUCUUCCCAUCUUUCAUUACAUGGCACGAGUAGCCUCAUUUAUUAAAUUGUUCUUGGCACUUGGUCGUAUCUUAAAAUUUAAUUUUCCCUUUUUAUACAUUCAAAUAAUAUUAUCAUCCACAUCAAUAAGGCCUAUCAUGUAGGGCAUCGCAUACACAUGGGGAAGGCAUAAAAAAUCUUAAUCAUACGGAGGCUUUUCAUACAAAUAGCAUAGCAAGCUUUAUUCGAUUCUUGACAUGAAUUCUUGACCUUUCUGAACACAUAUAUUCCACAUUUAAACACAUUCUCAAAUGGAAUGACGACAUGAUAAAUAUUUAGAAUAAUCAUUGAACAUAAAUCUUUCAACAUAAUAUGUUAGGGAACGGUUCUAGUAUGAUCAAUUUAGCGACAUACACCAAUUACACGUACACCAGAGGUUCGAUUCUAAGAAGAAGGGGGUUUAGCCAUACAUACAUGGAAUUCGCCCCUUAAUGAUACUAUGAUGAUCCACUACACUAAGCAACUUCAGUUUACAAUAUUAACAUCCAAUGGGACCAUCAUUAGUAACAAAUUCCAUAGUUUAAGCCAUUUAGACACUUUAUCAAACACAUAGUAGGCAUAAGUCUCUAUAUCUCAUAGCCAUAGAAUUGAUUCAUCCAACUAACACUAUUUACCAACAAUUUAACCUACCAUCAUUCUUGAACAUUUUAUAACUUCCAACAUCACAUGCAUGACCAUCCAUCCAUCCCCAAUCAACAAAAUUUAAUCAAAUAAUUUCCUUUCAAUCUCUACAAUGGUUAUGUAUUUAAAUUGAAAAAUUAUGGCUUCCAAUCACCAUCCCAUGAGUACCAAUACUUAAUUCUUACUCAUAUUCUAAUAAUAAAUUCAUGCAUGUAAGUCUAAGGGUGUAGGAUUACCUUUUGAAAAAUAUCUUGCAAAUUCCUCCCUUUGAGUUCUUGAAGAAAUUUCUUGAAAAUCUAAAGAUUCCAUGUGUAGAUUUCAUCAACGCUAGUGUAGAAAUGAUGGAAUUUCACACCAAGAUAAUGGGAUUUCUUACCUUAAAGAAGAGAGGAGUUUGUGGUCUUGAGAGAGUGGAGAAGAGCUCCAAAAUUCGUUCAAGUGAAAUGGGGGAAAUGAACCCCGAAGGCGAGUACUAAAAAAGGCUUCAGGUGGGGGUACCAUGCCUGUUCCAGCGCAAUUUGCUAAUAAUUCAUUGGUUUUCAAAGUUGCUGAGAGGGAUGGCGUGCCACAAUCCGCGCGUUGCACUUAACCUGGCACGCUCCCAGUUAUUUUCCUUUUUCCCAUUGCUUUCUUCUACACUCACCCUAAUUGAUACCUUGAUAUGAUAUAGACCCGAAUUGACUUCCAAACCUUCAUAUAAGUAUGAAACCAUGUUUACAUAAUAAAAUCCUUUCCAUUUAAUGUAUCUAUUUGUUACACACAAAUGCUUCCCAUUCACAAGACUCCUUAAUAUGAUCCAACGCACCUUAAACAUAUAUUUUAAUUUCAAAAUGAUGUGGUUCUAUCCCAUAGGUCUCCUUUAAUACUUGAAUACGUUAUUCCCAAAUACCAAUGGCGCAUUUUAAAAUCUAAAAUCACUAGGAAAUUUUAACGGGGCCUUACAACUUCUCCUCUAUAUUCUCCAAAUUCACUUCGAACAGAGUUAGUACCUAACCCUCUUGGUGCAUACUUCCUAAACUUUUCUUUUGGAACUCCUCCAAAGUUCCAACUGGAACUUGUUGACACUGGAAAUCAUAUUAAUUUGAUACAAUGCCAACCUUUUCUAGAUUGUUACAAGCAAUAUAUCCCCAUCUUCGAUCUCGUAAACUCUUCAACCUUUAAGCCAAUAUCUUGUAAUUCAGAUAAAUGCUUUGAGAAUAGCUGCCAAGGAAUUGUAUUAGGAGACUUUCGUCGCUAGUGGUUUUUCAUUUGGUGAUGUAGCCAGUGAAACUUUCACUUUCUAUUAUAAAAAUGGAGAAGGAAUUUCGUUCCCAAGUAUUUUUUUUUUUUUUGGAUAUGGUCACAGAUCCAAAUCUAUACCAGUGAAACCUAUGAUGUCUGCCAUAAUAGGGCUCGACGCUUCUCAUGCAUCUUUAGUGGCGCAACUUAGUCCAACAUUUGGACAAAAAAUUUCCUACUGUUUUGUGCCAAGGGCACAAUUAGAUAUCCCUAGCAAACUUACCUUUGGUGACAAUGCUUGGGGAUCGGGGAGUGUUUUCACUCCACUUGUUGUUAAACCUACCUUUGUGUACUAUUUCUUGACCCUCUUAGGCAUACGGGUUGUUGAACAACAACUGGAUCUUGUUGCUAAUCCCUCUACUGUUUUCCAAGAGGGUAAUAUUGUGAUUGACUCAGAAACUACUUAUACUUUCCUUCCUUCACCAUUCUAUAACCAACUUGAAACAUUAGUGAGAGAAGUCAUUGAAAAAUAACUGUGGGUUGACAACUCAUCAUCUGAGUUGAGUCUAUGCCAAAAAGAUCUAAAAGGCAUUGAUAUUCCUCCAAUGAAGCUUUAUUUUUAUUGAAGAUUAUGUGCUAUUAUCAAUGGAGAAUAUAAUGCCAUUCUUGUUGGAUACGAUUUAGAUUGUCUUGAUUAUAAACAAAGAUUGUUAUGACUAAAAAAGAUGCACAUUUCCUGCACUUACGUUGAGAUAGAUGUGCGGGCAUACCAAGAUCGAUAAGAUUAGAAUAAAGACAUUCAGCCCAGGGUAGGUGUAGUCUCGGUGGAGGACAAGAUAUGAGAAUCUAUACUUAGAUGGUAUGGUCAUAUAAAGAAAAGAAACACAAAUAUUCCUACAAAUAGGUGUGAGAGGUUGACCCUUGGUGGGUCUGAGAAGGGGUAAAGGUAGGCGAAAGAAGUAUUGGAGAGAGGUGAUUAGGUAGGAUAUGGUGUUGCUUCAGCUUACUGAGGACAUGACCCUUAACAGGAAGGUGUGGUGGUUGAGAAUUAAGGUAAAAGACUAGUAAAUAGUUGAGAGUAUUUGUUUCCAAUACUAAUAGUAGUGGUUUAUUCUUGUAUUCUGCUAUUGUUAUAUUUCUAUUACUACAUGUUGUUUCUUUCGCGUCCUUUUCUUAUUAUCUUAUUGGUAUUAGAGAUAUCAUAAUAUCAUCCAUAAUUGAGGUGUUUGUAGCCAUCAAUAACAAUUACUAUAAUGGUAAAAUGGAAAAAAAUAACUAAUUUUGUCUUGAAAUUCUAAAAUAAUAAAAUAAUUUAAGACAACUAUUAAGCUUAUCCACCGUUUUCAAUAUUACUUCUCCGCUAUCUUUUCCAAAUUCACUUCGGACUGAGUUAGUACCAGACCCUCUAGGUGCAUACUUUAUAAACUUUUAUGUCGGAACUCCUCCAAAGUUCCAACUGGCACUUGUUGACAUUAGCAGCCAUAUUAAGUGGAUACAAUGCCAACCUUUUCUAGAUUGUUGCAAGCAAUAUAUCCCCAUCUUUGAUCUCGUAAACUCUUCAACCUUUAUGCCGCUAUCCUGUAAUUCAGAUAAAUGCUUUUAGAAUAGCUGCCAACGAACUAUAUUUUGAGACUUACGUUGCUAGUAGUUAUUCAUUUGUUGAUGGAGCCACGGAAACUAUCACUUUCUAUUAUGAAAAUAGAGAAGAAAUUUCUUUCCCAAGUAUUGUUUUUGGAUGUGGUCAUAGAUCCAAAUCUAUACCAGUGAACCCAAUGAUGUCUGCCGUAAUAGGGCUCGGCGCUUCUCAUGCGUCUUUAGUGUCGCAACUUAGUCCAACAUUUGGACAAAAAAUUUCCUACUAUUUUGUGCCAAGGGCACAAUUAGAUAUCCCUAGCAAACUUACCUUUGAUGACAAUGCUUGGGGACUGGGAAGUGUUUUCACUCCACUUGUUGUUAAACCUAACUUUGUGUACUAUUUCUUGACACUCUUAGGCAUACCGGUUGGUGAACAAAAACUGGAUCUUGUUGUUAAUCCCUCUACUGUUUUCCAAGAGGGUAAUAUUGUGAUUGACUCUGAAACUACUUAUUCUUUCCUUCCUUCACUGUUAUAUAACCAACUUGAAACAUUAGCGAGAGAAGCCGUUGAAAAAUAACUGUAGGUUGACAACUCAUCAUCUGAUUUGAGUCUUUGCCACAAAGAUCUGAAAGGCAUUGAUAUUCCUCCAAUGAAGCUUUAUUUUUAUUGAAGAUGAUGUGCUAUUAUUAAUGGAGAAUAUAGUGCCAUUCUCGUCAGAUACGAUUUAGAUUGUGUUGAUUAUAAACAAAUAUUGUUAUAACUAACAAAGAUGCAUAUUUCCUGCACUUAUAUUGAGAUAGAUGUGUGGGCAUACCAGGAUCGAUAAGAUUAGGAAUAAGAUAUUCAGCCCAGGGUGGGGGUAGUCUCCGUAGAGAACAAGAUAUGAGAAGCGAGGCUUAGAUGGUAUGGCAUAUGAAGAGAAGAAGCACAAAUUUUCCUACGAAGAGGUGUGAGAGGUUGACCCUUGGUGGGUCUGAGAAGGGAUAAAGGUAGGCGAAGGAAGUAUUGGGGAGAGGUUAUUAGGUAGGAUAUGGUGUUGCUUCAGCUUACCGAGUAGUAGUGGUGAUUAGUAGAGAGUAUUUGUUUCCAAUACCAGUAGUAGUGGUUUAGUCUUGUAUUCUGUUAUUGUUAUAUUUCUAUUACUACAUAUUGUUUCUUUCGCUUUAUUUUCUUAUUAUCUUAUUGGUAUUUGAGCAAACAUAAUAUCACCCAUAAUUGAGGUGUUUGUAGUCAUCAACAAUAAUUACUACAAGGGUAAAAUGGAAAAAAAAUACCUAAUUCUGUCUUGAAAUUGUAAAAUAACAAAUAUUUUGAGACAACUAUUCAACUUAUCCACCGUUUUCAAUAUUACUUCUCCUCUAUCUUCUCUAAAUUCACUUCGGAAUGAGUUAGUACCUGACCCUCUAGGUGCAUACUUUAUAAACCUUUUUAAUGGAACUCCUCCAAAGUUCCAACUGGCACUUGUUGACACUGGCAGUCAUAUUAAUUUGAUACAAUGCCAACCUUUUCUAGAUUGUUACAAGCAAGAUAUCCCCAUCUUUAAUCCCAUAAACUCUUCAACUUUUUAGCCGCUGUCUUGUAAUUCAGAUAAAUGCUUUCAGAAUGCCAAGGAAUUGUAUUAUGCGGCUUACUUUGCUAGUAGUUAUUCAUUUGGUAAUGUAGCCCCGGAAAUUCUUUCACUUUCUAUUAUGAAAAUGGAUAAAAAAAUUCUUUCCCAAGUAUUGUUUUUUGAUGUGAUCACAGAUCCAAUCUAUACCAGUGAAACCUAUGAUGUCUGCCGUAAUAGGGCUCGACGCUUCUCAUGCUUCUUUAGUGUCGCAACUUAGUCCAACACUUGGACAGAAACAUUCCUACUGUUUGGUGCCAAGGGAACAAUUAGAUAUCCCUAGCAAACAUACCUUUGGUGACAAUGCUUGGGGAUCGGGGAGUGUUUUCACUCCACUUGUUAUUAAACCUACCUUUGUGUAAUGAUCCGACCGAUCAUUUUGAGCUUUUGCACUUUGCUCGCCAGUUCUUGGGUAUGACUUGCCCCGUGUGAUGUAUUAUAACUUAUGUAAAUUGUUGGUUUUGAUUUUCAGGGUAAUCAGAAUGAAUUUGGAAGAAACAGUUCUCAGUUGAAGCUUAAAAUUUGAAAAGUUUGACCAAGAUUUGACUUGUUCGUAUAUGAUCUUGGAUCAGAAUUUUUAUGAUUUUAUUAGCUCCGUUAGGUGAUUUGGGACUUAGGAGCGUAAUCGGAAUACUUUUUAGAAGUCCGUGGAAGGUUUAGGCUUGAAUUGGCAAAAUUGAGAUUUCGGCGUUUUCUGAUUGACAGGUGAGGUUUUGAUGUAGAGGUCAGAAUGAAAUUCUGGAAGUUGCAGCAGUUCCGUUGUGUCAUUUGGGAUGUGUGUGCAAAAUUUUAGAUCAUUCGGACGAGGUUUGAUAGACUUUUUUAUCGAAUUCAGAAUUCAGAAGUUUUGAAAUUCUUAGGCUUGAAUCCGAGGGUGAUUCGAUGUUUUGAUGUUGUUUUGAGCGUUCUGAAGCGUGGAACAAGUUUGAAUGAUGUUUUAAGAUUUGUUGGCAUGUUUGGUUGAGGUUCUGAGGGCCUCGGGUGAGUUUCGGGGUGGUUCCGGACCAUUUCUAAGCUAUUUUUAGCUGCUGGUUUUUGGCUACAACAGUGUUCUACGCGAUCGUGGGGAACUGGAAAAGUGAUCGCGAUGAGUAAAAUGCGAAAAAAAUGUCAGUGCUUCGCGAUUGGGAUGAACCUUCGCGAUCGCAUAGAGUAAAUAUUCUGCUGCACUAAUCCAAAUUUGGAGGCUUAUAUCUCACAAUCUAUAAGGAAUUUGGAGAUGAUCCAAAAAUAAAAGUUGUAGCCCUUUGUGUUUAGGUUUCAGAAAUGUAAAUUAAUUAGAAUUUUAAGUGGUGUACAAAAUGUUAUGGUGGUUACACUAUAGGCUGUCCGGGAAGGGUUUAGGAAUCUUUAAUGCACAAGGCUGAAUUUGGAAGCUUAUAUCUCGCAAUAUAUAAAGAGUCAGGAAAUGAAAAAUAUAUGAAAUUAUAGCACAUGGUGUCUAGUUUUCAGAACAUCAAACCAUUUGUCAUUUGGAGUUGUGUGCAAAAGGUUAUGACCAUUAUACUAGAGGUUGUCCGAAAGAGCUGGGAACUUGUUCUUCGCGAUCGCGAAGGGCAAAUUUUGGGCUGAGAAAAGUUGUGCUUCGCGAUUGCAAAGCAUUUUCCACGAUCGUGAAGAGUAUAUACUUGGGCAGAAUGUUUUAAAGACCUAUUUCGCGACUUUGAGCCCUUUUUCACCAUUUUUGUACGGGAAAAGAGCUUGGAUGCGAUUUUGAAGAGAGGAAAUCAUUGUUCUUCAUUGAGGUAAGGAUUUUGGACCCUAAAACUUGAUUAAUUGUGAUUAAGGUACAAAAAUAUCAGUGUAAAUUCAUGAAAAUCAGUAGAAAAAGGUGGAGUUAGGGCUUGAGAUUAUGAGACCUUCUAGGGAUGAUUUGAGGGGUCAAACGAACUCCGAUUUUCGAGUUCUUUAUAUGUACGAACUCGUGAGAUGAUGAAGAACAUUUUGGUAUAAAGUUUGUCCAGUUACAGGAUGCGGGACAAGGGGUCAGGUUUUGACCGAUUUCGGAUUUUGUGCUUAAAAUCGAUAUUUUUCAAUUGGAAUUCAUUCGUUUAGCAUAAUUUGAUGAUAAAAAUCUGAACUUGGUAGAUUUAGAGCACUCGGAACUUGGUUCGAGAGGCAAGCGUGUUGCAGAAUAGCUUUUCGGGCUAGUUUGAGGUGAGUAAUGAUUGUAAAUGAUGUUCUGAGGGUUUGAAACCUCGGAUUGCACAUCGUGGUGCUAUAUUGAGGUGAGGCACACACUGGAUGACGAGCGUGGGGUUGUACACUAUUGGGGAUUGUGAAUUGGUCUAUCCCGAUUUGAUAAUUUUACCGCGUAUUUGAUUAAAAACUAUUUGCUAACAUCAUUAUUUGGGCUGAAUGUCAUAUUUGGGCCUAGUGCCAACUAUUUAAACCUGUCGGAGAUUUUUGUUGAUAUUUCCUCACUAUUUUGACUUUAUACUUGAACUCAGUCAUGUUAUUUUCCACUCUUUUCAAAACUCAGCCAUGUUUAUUUUGCUUUAACACUUGAAAUGAUAUCUCAAAUAAUAUUUUGGGCUGAGCAUCAUGUUUUACUGUUGCCCGAGUGGCUUAUGUGAUUUUUGAUUGAGUAAGGCCGAGGGCCUAUAUUGUGAGGAUACUUUUGGGUCGGGCUGCACGCCACAUCAGUGAGAUACUGAUUUGAUUAUGAGGCCGAGGGCCUGAGAUAUGUACGCCAUGAGGUGGCUUGUUGAUAUUGAUAUGAGGCCGAGGGCCUGUUUAUGAUGCCACGAGGUGGCUUGAUAUUGCGCUUGGGCGGUAAGGGGCCCCUCCCGGAGUCUGUACACCCCAGAGAGUGCGGGUACCCAUUGUGAUGUGAGAUAUAGCCCGAGGGGCUGAUAUUGUAUAAUGUGAUAGUCUGAGGAGCUGGUAUUGUUCUAUGUGAUUGCCCGAGGGGCUGGUACCGUUCGAUGUGAUUGCCCAAGGGGCUGGUAUUGUUCUGAGAUAUUGCCUGAGGGGCGGAGUUAUUGAUAUUGUGCCCGAGGGGCAAACCUUAUGUGAUUAUCUUUCAUAUUUACUUGUCAUUUUACCUGUUAAACUAUGGUAUUUGUGCUCGAGGGGCGGAUUUCGGUGCUUAUCUAUACUAAUUGUUUUGCAUUCAUUUGUGUAACUGUUGAAAAAGUCAUUUUCAAAGAAGUUUAAACUGAGCUAAGAUAUUUUAAGAGAUUUUUACAGCUUCACUGUUUUCUUACUGGUUUUUGAACUGCUUCUAUAUAGCAUCUUGAUAUGCUUUACGUGAUUUCUUACCUUUCAGACUUUAGUGAUUAUUACUCAUUGAGUUAGAGUACUCACUUUACUCCCUACACCUUGUGUGCAGAUUCAGGUAUUUCUAAAACCGGUAGCGGGUAUUGGCUGACUGGAGGUAGAGUCAUCGGAGUUUAGCAAGGUAGCUGCUGGCAUUCGCAACACUUCUUUUCUCCCUUUUCUUUUCAUUAGUCUGUAUUUUGUACCUUUCAGACUUUUUAGUUGUAUUUAUACCCUAGUAGAUGCUCGUGACUUGUGACACCCCGGUAUCGGGCUGUGUUUGGGUUGCAUUUCGCACUUUAUAUUAUCUUUUGUUUAGUUUUUGGCUUAUUUACUCAUACUCAGACUAUUUGUUAAUGUUAAACUAUUUAAAACGGAAUUGGGUCUAGCUGGCUGGCCUUGUCUUCCCGAGAGGUGUCAUCACGACCGGGUCCAGGUUUAGGGUCAUGACAAGUUGGUAUCAGAGCCUAGGUUACAUAGGUCUCACGAGUCAUGAGCAGGUUUAGUAGAGUCUCGCGGAUCGGUACGGAGAUGUCUGUAUUUAUCCUCGAGAGUCUACAAAACAUUUAGGAAAAACUUCACAUUCUUGAAUUCUUAUCGUACGUCCUUGAUUCAGCUUGAAAUGUAACUCUUUGAACUCCUUCCACGCGUUCGUGUGCGCGCAUGAGCGCUCAGUAUCAUAUGUGCAUCGAUUGCUUGUGAUUCCCUGAUCGAGGGGCGAGAUGUGAUCUCUGUGAGUUGAUGUUGGGUCAGUCUGGAGGACUUGAGGCCAGAUUUUUGCCUAUAGCUUGAGCACCAAGGUGUUGAUUGUGUGAACAAGUGUUUUGAGCUUAUAUGUUCGGUAGUGUCCCUAUUAGUUGGAGUGAUGGUUGGAUAACUAUGUGAUGAGUAUGUUAGUACUGCGAGAUAUAUCCAUAUGAUUUGGAAGCGAUGAGAAGGGUCUGCUGGAGGAUAGAAGGACUAUUAGGUGCUUGAAUUCCAUCUUGAUUCGAGGUAUAGCCCCGUGUUAUGGGUGUGUGAAGAAUUUUUUCAUGUUUUCCUAGUUGUGAGUGAAGUAAAUUCCAUGUUGAGGUAUGAGUUCAGACUCAGGAAGACUAAGUGACUGUGUAUAGUUUAUGACGGUGGAAGGUAUAUAGAAAUGUUAGUUGGAGGCAAAGUAGGUGGGUUGUCUCCUACGGAGUGUUUUGAAGUUGUGUGAUCCUUAUGUUUUCUAUUAGAAGAUCUCAUUUACAAGUGAAGUAUAUGUGUUGAAAUUUAAAUUUGGGUCGCUUAAGAGAGUGGGCUUGACUGUUGCGAGGAUGAGUGCGAGAUUUGCAAAAGAGUUAAAUUCUAGAUGAUCCAUGUUUUCACAAGCUCAUAAGGGAUUUGAGUUUAAUCUCACUAUGGCACUAUGACAGCAAUAGAGUAUAUGUGUUAUGAGUUAUUGAGUAUGUUUUGAUCUAUGGCUUCGAUCUAAAUAGGGGAGUCUGUUGUUGGUUAGUUGAUUGCACAGUUAUGUGCUAUGUUAGUUCCAGUUUGAAGCAUAAUGGUAAAUCAGUUAUGGCCUACGGAGAUGGAGACCGAGGAUGGCUUUAGUAAAGGAAGGUUUUUACAAAAGUUAUAUUAUGAUUUAUAGGUGUAUGAGAAUCACGAAAUAUCUUGAGUGGUCAUUGAUAAAGGGUGUGCGGUGCAUAGAAAAGGAAGUGGCUUGGUUGCAUUAAGGUAAGGCUACAUUCUGUGGUGUCAGAGUGCUAAUGAGGCACAGGUUGUUCGAUUCGUUUGUUCAGACUAAUUGUAGUUUGAGUAGAGUGAAUAACUCGUGGGAGUGGUUCUAAUGUGUACAAGAUUCUACAUGCAACAAUGGGGUGUUUUAAAGUUGUAUAUGUGGUUAAAGACUGAGUUUUCAUUGGAAGAUGUCAAGACUUGUGGUGUUUUCUAUAUUAAUUAUGGGAUUCUAUGUAUCAGUAUCAGGAAGGUAAAGGUAAUGGAUUUAGAUUUGUAAGAAGUUCAUCAGAGUAAAGUAUUUUGAAUAUGGUGCUUUUGGGAAUAUUUAAGAGAAUACUCAGCGGCUUAUGAGCCUUGAACAGUGUGGUGUUAUGCUUGGGUCUCGUAUGGUAAGUCUGGGUUGAGGAAUUGUGAUGUUAUAGCAAGAAGGAGUAUCAAAUUGAUGGUAAAUCAGAAGGGAGCUCGGAUGGAUGGGAUAGCUUGGUAGUAGGCCAGAUCGGUAUGGUAAGGAUAUGAUUAGUUCAUUGGGUGUUUACGAGGUAAUGAGUUUCUACGGGUAUUUCGCGGCAAUGCUCUUAGAUUUUAGUGGCUUGCAUAGGUUGAUUGAGUUAGGAAGAUUCAGUCAUGACGGACUUGCUUGUGCAAAGGGGAGGCAGAGAGUUCUCGUUGAUAUCUACCGUGGCUAAAGAUGUAUAUUUUCUACUGGCAUGAGGAGCGUGGGAUGCGUAGUGAUUUUCUUCCAGAUGGGUUCAAUGGAAAGUCUUGGUUGGUUGGGUACAUAGUUGCUAGUUGGCUGGCCUCGUCUUCACGAGAGGUGCCAUCGCGAUCGGGUCCGGGUUUAGGGUGCUUUUUUAUGCUUUGUUAUCUGUGUUUUGUGGUAUCGGAUUGAGUCCGGAAGGAAUUUGGUGAAGUUUGAGACACUUAGUCUCUUUUAAGAAGGUUUAAGUUGGAAAUGUCAAUAGGAUAUUGACUUAUGUGUUAGAGGGCUCGGAUAUGAAUUCUGAUGAUUCGGUUAGCUUCGGAAGGUGAUUUAUGACUUAGGAGUGUGAUCGGAAUGGGUUUUGGAGGUCCGGAGUAGAAUCAGGCUUGAAUUGGCGAAGUUGAUAUAUUAGCGAUUUCCGGUUGAUAGGUGAGAUUUUGAUAUAGGGGUCGGAAUGGAAUUCUGAUAGUUGCAGUAGCUUCGUUGUGUCAUUUUGGAUGUGUGUGCAAAAUUUCAAGUCAUUUGGACGUGGUUUGGUCGGGUUUUUGAUCGAAAGCGUAUUUCGAACGAUUUUAGAAACUUAGGCUUGAAUCCGAUGUGUUUUGGGUAAUUUGAUGUUGUUGGAGGUAUUUUGAUGAUUAGAACAAAUUUGAAUAAGGUUUUAGGAUGUGUUGGUGCCCUUGGUUGAGGUCUCGGGUGUCACACCUCCUUUUUUACUACACCCUCGGAAGGGUAUAAAUAAAAGGAGUUUUUUCAAUUAAAGGACAAUCGAAACGGGAUUUAUUGUUAAAAGAUUCAGAGUCGCCACUUGGGAGAUUUAUGGUGUCCCAAGUCACCGGUUGAAUCCCGAAUCGAGGAAAACUUGACUCUGUAUUAUAGUCCGCGAACCAGAAAUCCGAGUAAGGAAUUCUGUUAACCCGGGAGAAGGUGUUAGGCACUCCCGAUUUCCGUGGUUCUAGCACGGUUGCUUUGAUUAUACUUGUCUUACUAAAUUUUCUAAUUACUUAUUUUCAAACCUAUGGGCAUCUACCCCCUUAACCGUUUUUAUUUUCUCAAUUACUAUUAUUUAUGGAAUUAUCUUUAAAAAAUGAGUCACGCGUACGUGUACACAUUUCAUUUGGCGCGUCAAAAAUCGUGUCACGCGUACGUAUCCACAAUUAAUCACGUCAUAUUAUUAAUAAGAUUGUUUCACCCAAAGUUGCACGAACGCAUACCUUGAUUUUAAUUUCUGGAAUCGUAACUAUGUCACGCGAAUGUGUACACAACCACGAUAAUUUAUUAAGUCGCCUUCAUUGCAAAAUAAAGAAAAUAAAGGGGUGCGGCAGCCAAGCUAAUGCCAGAAACAAUAUAACAUGCUACUAUCACUUUCAAUUUUUGUCACUUUCUUGCUCUCUUGAUCCAAUGUUCUUUUAAUUCAAUUAUUCAUUGCAAAAAUGGUCCAGCUUGGACACAAUACAUUAGCAGAAUACACGCUCAACCAAUGGCCACACAUGCAAACUCCGUGUACUCUUAAUCUUCGAGAUUGUUGUAAGGCCAAAUUUAUGAACAAAAUAUUAUUGGGGGAAAAUAAGCUAGCCAACAUGAUCUAUUACAUGGCCAAAUUCCUUGUGGUCCAAAACCCACCUUAUGACCCAUUCUUAUUCCUUGCCAAGAAAAAAUCAACUCCAAUUUUUCAUUGGCCCGAUUAAAAGCAUUUAUUUAAGAACCAAGACUACAUACAUUAUAGUGGAAAUAAAAACUAAUCAAAAUAAUUUAAAUGACAACUAAAACAUGAUACUCAAACAACAUAGAAUCACAAAUCAACCAACACGCGCACCAAGCUAUUAUAACACAAUGAAAUGAGAAUUGAAAUUGAGAAAUGGACCUUUUAUUGAUGAACAAAGCUGAAAAUUGCAAAUCAAUCAGGCUAAGCCAAGCAACAAUCCUUGGACCGAAACACUGAGAUUACGAACUGGAACCUCGAAUCGACCGCGCCCAACUGACCGGAAAACCCAAUUAAUUUAAAAAAACUCCCAACGAAAUAUUCAUAGAAAAUGGAAUAAGCUACUGCUCUUAGCCGAUGUGGUCAUUGAGACCCGAACUUGACCUUUUGGAAAGCUCUUAAAAUCAGCAGAAUUGCGAGCCACUAUAUCGUCAACUUCUCUGAACUCCUUUAACAAAGAAUCAAAUGCCUCCCUUUUGUCCUUGUGUGUAUGUGUGCCUUUUUUCUCUUUUUUUUUUUGCUUUUAAAUUCAAAGACUGUCGUUUUUUGUGCAUUUCUUUUUCCAUUUUAAUGAUGAAAGCAACAACGUUAACAAGUCCAUUGGUGUAGAUUCAAUGAGCACUACUGAAAGAUGAUGGAAUUAAACGCCUUGCCUUUUUCGCUAUACCACUAAGCAAUUUUCGGUCAUUUCAUCAGCAGGAGGGGAUCUAAAGAAGAUAGAUGGGAUCGCUGGAAAAGUUGGGGGGUCUCUUUUUGGGUUCUGCGGCUCUCCUUUUUUG
This 14045-nucleotide long non-coding RNA is filed under the name Nicotiana tabacum (common tobacco). RNAcentral's name for it is "long non-coding RNA (NTAB_LNC015126)". The record is from RNAcentral. Lineage: Eukaryota; Viridiplantae; Streptophyta; Magnoliopsida; Solanales; Solanaceae.